GAUGAACGCUGGCGGCGUGCUUAACACAUGCAAGUCGAACGGAAAGGCCAGUGCUUGCACUGGUACUCGAGUGGCGAACGGGUGAGUAACACGUGGGUGAUCUGCCCUGCACUUCGGGAUAAGCCUGGGAAACUGGGUCUAAUACCGGAUAGGACAAUGGUUUGGAUGCCGUUGUGGAAAGUUUUUUCGGUGUGGGAUGAGCUCGCGGCCUAUCAGCUUGUUGGUGGGGUAAUGGCCUACCAAGGCGUCGACGGGUAGCCGGCCUGAGAGGGUGUACGGCCACAGUGGGACUGAGAUACGGCCCAGACUCCUACGGGAGGCAGCAGUGGGGAAUAUUGCACAAUGGGCGCAAGCCUGAUGCAGCGACGCCGCGUGGGGGAUGACGGCCUUCGGGUUGUAAACUCCUUUCGCUAGGGACGAAGCGUAUUUGUGACGGUACCUGGAGAAGAAGCACCGGCUAACUACGUG
This 468-nucleotide ribosomal RNA is filed under the name uncultured bacterium. Its description in RNAcentral is "partial 16S ribosomal RNA". It matches the Rfam family "Bacterial small subunit ribosomal RNA", at positions 28 to 507 of the family's 1533-position model. The record is from RNAcentral.